Molecule: non-coding RNA, 5006 nt
Organism: Equus caballus (horse)
Lineage: Eukaryota; Metazoa; Chordata; Mammalia; Perissodactyla; Equidae
Source: RefSeq, a predicted model, not a curated record
CUGACCAAGAAGGCCAUGCCCCACCUCCCCUACCUAAAGCCCCAAAUAAAAACCCCUACCCAUUUCUUAACGGGGAGCAAGCAACUUUUGGGGAACUAGCCCUUGCUUUGCUCCCUCUGCCUGGCAAAGUAAAGCCUUUCCUUUCGCACCGAAGACUCUGUUCUCUUAUUUGGAUUGACAUCGGGAUCAGAGACUGAACUUUCGGUAGCAGUGGGUGAGAAACAAGCUGGACAAGGAGGGCCAAAAUGUACUGAGCUAAACAAAAAUCUGGACACAUGGGUCGUGUGUCUCGUCUGGGUAAGGGGCGCUGUUUUGCGAGACUUGUGGGGGUGCGCAAACGGGGUGUCUGGAACAUUUCCAUAGCCGACGGAGGCGGUGGGAUAGGGUUUUUGAAAUCUGGACUUAGAUUUCCGGCGUCUGAUCUUCCCCAGACUGUGUGAGUAGGGCCGGUUGAUUGCGGCAGCCCAGGGCACGGGGAGACUGGACUGAUGGGGGCAGCACUGAGGUGGCGCAGCUGAGCCAGAGGAGGCCGCGACCGGAAACUGGCAAUGGUGGGGUCAGGGUCAGAGGAAUCAGAGGGGCUGCAGGUCCCUACCGAGUUCCUUUCUUCCGAGGCCGCGUGUGAGGCCUGAGGACACGGGCCCCUGAGGCAAAGGACAAGAACCUCAAGAUGGACCUCCUUCUCCAAGGACGUCUGGGUCUACACAUCUGACAGCCCGCAGGAGGGCAAAUGUUUUGAGAUUGCCCUUGGAGGUGUUAUUCUGACUGAACCUUUAAACUCAACUCCAACCAGGCAUCGGCUUUGCUGAGAACUCACUGACAGUCUCCUUUCUUCAGAAUCUUCCCACUCCCGGCAGAGAGGGGUUGUUCUCCUGGAGGAUCUGUCCUUUCCCCUGAAACAGAGUAUCAGGGCAUUCCGAGGCGAGAAUCACAUCUUUACAUUUCUUGCCAGCUUGAGUUAUUCAACGGGGAGCUUUUGUGGACAAUUGCAGGGUGAGCUUUGGCAGUCUGGGGCCAGCACCACAGUACAAGUCUUGUUCGGAGCACCACGCGUUCUCCUUGAGAUCUCUCUGCUAGUAUGAGAUGAAGAAAUGUCCUCUCACCCCUCCUGAGGCGUUCCAUUUUCCAGUGAGGAAUUUCAGGAUCAAAUGAACACACACAUGCACUCACACACAUACACUCACACAGAGAGACACACACACAGACGUACACUCCUUCCAAGAACGAACAGCAAUUCUUAGGGACAAUGCAGUCUAAAUCCACAUUAAGAAAGAGAACCGUUUCCCUAGAGAUGCCAGCCUGCCCUCUCUGGAGAUAACAUUUGACAUUAUUAUGCAAAGCAGUUUCAGUUCUCCUGUCCUGCUUUUGGAACAGUGUAAGAGGCCAAUGGUGUGAAAUGAAUAGGGCCCAUCACUCGCCUCGGCAAAAGACAGCCUACUUCUGAGGGCUCUGUCUUUGUCGGGCUAGAUCAAAUUCUUGAGCAGAUCUGCACUCUUUUCCAUCUCUGCAAAGGAAGUUUAAGAAUUGAUUAUCCUUCACCUCAAGCAAACCCUCAGGAGGGAGGGGGAUGAGUGGGUUUGUCCUUCUGGUUACAUAUGCUCUGUCCACUCAUUUUGAAUUUAAUGACACAGAGUAUGUUAUGACCUUUUGAUACAUUGUAAAAAAACCAAGGAAUCAUACAAUGCACACUUUCUGCACCUUGUUUUUUAAAAAACAUUGUAUUUUGAAGUAAUUAUAGACUCACAGUAAUUAUAGACUCAAAAGUAGUAUAUAGAGACCCCAUGGACCCUUCCCCUAAUGGUGACAUCUUCCAGUGGUGGCAUCUGUAGUACCAUAUCAAGACCAAGACAUUGCCAUUGGUGCAAUACUGUUAACUAGAUUAAAGCCCUUACUCAGUGUUCAUUAUUUUUUAUAUGCGCUCAUUUGUGUGUGUCAAUGUGUGUGUGUGUGUGCACGUGUGCGCAUGCGGGCACACUCCUAACUUGUUGGUCUGUUUUGGAGACCUUCGACUAGCAGGCGGUUCAGAUCUUCAUCCUCAUUCCCUCUUCUGUUAUCUGGAUGGACUAUCACUUGUUGGUCCCCUGUUGAAGUCCACGUUAGUUGUUAAUGGCUUUUCUCUCAUACAUAGAGUACUGCAAUAGCAUCCUGUACACAGAGCUGGGAGCACUUGUGCUAAGCCCAGCUCGAUAGUUGAAGGGAUAGGGCAAAGUGUAUGUGCCUUUGACAUUUUAAUAGAAAUUGCCAAUUGCCCUCCAGAAAAUCUGUGCCCCUGUCCUAUUUCACGGAACCUUCCUGAAGGGCAAUUCUGUGGGAUGGUGUCCAUUUCAACGCACCUUCCUAGCACUCAGUUUCACCAAACAUUUUAACUUUUGCCAAUCGGGGUGAAAAAAGAAUCUUUCGAUUUGCAUUUCUUUAAGGUGAUUAUUUUUUCAUAUGUUUGCAGGUAUUUGUAUUUCUUGUUUCCUAACUGCUUGUUCAUGCCCUUUGUCCUUAUUGGGUUGUUACUUUUUUUUUCUUAUUUAUUCUUCUAAACUCUUUAUCAGAGAAAAUUAACCGUUUGACUGUUACGUGUUGCAAAUAUUUUUAUUGAUUUGACUUUUGAAUUUAUGUCUUUUUAAUGUCCUAUAGAUGUUUUACAUUUUCAUGGAAUCAAAUUUAUUUAUCUUUUUUUUAUGGCUUCUGAGUUUUAUGUCAUGCUUAGAAGGGCCUUUCUUACUUCAAGAGUAUAAAAAAUUCACUCAUGUUUCCGUGCAGUUAUUCAAUGUUUUGUGUGUGUGUGUGUGUGUGUGUGUGUGUGCGUGUUUAAAUCUUUGGGCCAUCUGGUAUUUGUUCCUGAAUGGGAAGUGAGCUAGAGAUCCAGGUUAAUUUUUUCCCAAAUGGUUAACCAGUUAUCUCAGGGCUAUUUGAUUAUCCCCCAUGCCUUGAUUUCUUUGUUAUUUGCACAUGUUCUUGAGCCUAUUUCCGGAUUCUUUUAUCCCAUUGAUUUGUCUGUCUGUUCCCAAGUCAGGAUUUUGAUAGAUAUUGCAAAGAGGAGAAAGGAAAGUGGAAAAAGUGCCAUAAAAUAAUUUCAAAUAGAGCAGCAUGGGCAAUUCAAAGGAGGGAGAGAGUAUUUUUAGUCGGGGUGGUCUGGAAAAGCUUCUUGAAAGAGGGACAUUUAAGACAAAGCUUGAAGGAUGAGAAAAUGAGUCAAAGGGAAAGCAGAGCAAAGGCAGGAGGCAGGAGGUGGUGGACGUUUGUGAGCAUGUCUGUGGACUCUGCAGGGGAGCCCACGCUCCGCCCCUUGUGUUGUUAUGCAUGCAGGUCUUGAAUGCUGUCAACAGCAGACAGAAAUCUUUGUAUUACUCUCUCAAGGCAUUUUGAGGAUACACCACGAGAGCUACAAGUUGAGCAUCGCCUGUUUUCUAGGAAUAUCUAUUGUCAAUUCCAAUUCUCACCACCAUGAGCAAAGUUGAUAUUAUUAUCCCCAUUUUAGGAACGAAGAAUGAGGAAAAGCCCAAGUGAGUUAAAUAACAGCUCAUGGGUAGCAGCACUGAGAUUCAAAUCCAUGGCCAGCAAGUGAAAAAAAAGAAUAGAAAACAUCACAGUCGCUCACUCAUGAUAGGGGGUUGGUCACAGGUGCUGUCCUUGCACUGUCCUUGCUCUGCCCAUGUCAUUGGAUCCCUCUCCCUUCUCUGUGCUCACCAGCUGAAUUCCAGUACGAGUGCUUGCCCCAAAGUCAGCAUGUUGUUGGAAGUUGCAGGAGAGCCAGAGGACCCUAGGAAUUUGUGUCCCCUCCCUCCCUCCACAGCCCUGAACCGAUGACUGAUGGGGACGGGGAUAUACGUACUCUAGCUCUUUUCCCCCUCAUUGGGGUGACUUUGAGGUGACCCACAAUGCUCCCUAAACCCUGGGAAUGGUGCAUAAUUACCCUCUACGUGACUUGGAUCCAUAUUGCACCCUUACUGGUCCACCUUCCCCACUCCUCUAAAGACUCUUUUCCCUGGAAAUAGUUCCUAAUAAAUCACUUUUAUAUACAUCUUCCUCUAAGGCAGUAUUGUUUCAUGAAACCUGUUUCAGCUAUGUAGAGGGGUGGGUGAGUGUGUGAGUGUGUGUGUGUCUGUGUAUUGGUUGCCACUUAAUAUGCAUUUCUUACUGUGGAGCCAAAAAGUUCGAAAGCCAGUGUCCUAGACCACGUUAAGCUGUCUCUCUAUUUGUGUGGAUAGUUCACUGAGCUGGAAAGUUUCCUGGAUGCCCCAGAAUCAGAACUGCAGAUCAGAUUCCAGGUUUUAUGGUCUAUUGAGUACAGCGGCUUAAAAUACAUUGAAUAAAAAUGUAUUAGUCAUAGGUCUAGAGAAUGCCAUCAACUUUGAGCUGUUCUUUGAACUUCUUUGGUCAGUCUAGCUUGCCGAAUGGGUUUCAAAGUCCAGAUUUCCCUCUACUAAGGUUGAUAAAAGUGGUAUAAAAGUCUUGAUGGUUGCUUACUAAUUUUUUGCAAACUAGCAGAAAAAGGAAGACCAAGUUCGCCUUGCUGCAGAGCCAAAGGGCAUGCUUGCCCACAUGGCAGGGUAGUCUUCCCAGAGCUCCAGCCCAGGGCUUGGCUUAGAUGGAGAGAGGUGGGGUGUUCAGAAUUGCUCUGCAUUUACCUCUGAAGACAGUGCAGUUAAGGGAAGGGAAGAUAACACACGACAUACUCACUAACAACCAACAGGCCUUAGCAAAGAGAUCAGGCAAGUCUGUUUAUGCAAUCUGUGGGACCCUGGGGCAAGCCUGGCUGCCAGAAUCCAUGGAGGCCAGGCAUGGAGGGUGGAGGAUGCCAACUCCCAAAGUACACUGGAGAUGAAAUCUGGAAGGUGGUGCAAGGGAAAGGUAAGAUACCUAUCUUCCCAGGGAAACCUUGGGAGCCCUGCCAUCAUGGUGUCAGUUGAAGAUCCUUACUUGUUAGUACAUGAGGUGGAUGGGCUCCAUGUUUAAUUGUUUUCUUUUUGAGGAAGAUUAGCCCUGAGCUAAUUGCUGCCAAUCCUCCUCUU